AACGAACGCUGGCGGCAUGCCUAACACAUGCAAGUCGAACGAGACCUUCGGGUCUAGUGGCGCACGGGUGCGUAACGCGUGGGAACCUGCCCUUAGGUUCGGAAUAACUCCCCGAAAGGGGUGCUAAUACCGGAUAAUGUCUUCGGACCAAAGAUUUAUCGCCUUUGGAUGGGCCCGCGUUGGAUUAGCUAGUUGGUAGGGUAAAAGCCUACCAAGGCGACGAUCCAUAGCUGGUCUGAGAGGAUGAUCAGCCACACUGGGACUGAGACACGGCCCAGACUCCUACGGGAGGCAGCAGUGGGGAAUAUUGGAAAAUGGGCGAAAGCCUGAUCCAGCAAGGCCGCGUGAGUGAUGAAGGCCUUAGGGUUGUAAAGCUCUUUUACCCGGGAUGAUAAUGACAGUACCGGGAGAAUAAGCACCGGCUAACUCCGUG
RNAcentral lists this ribosomal RNA (433 nucleotides) under uncultured bacterium. Its description in RNAcentral is "partial 16S ribosomal RNA". It matches the Rfam family "Bacterial small subunit ribosomal RNA", at positions 29 to 507 of the family's 1533-position model. The record is from RNAcentral.